GACCUCAGAUCAGGCAAGGCUACCCGCUGAAUUUAA
Molecule: ribosomal RNA, 36 nt
Filed under: Goniastrea retiformis
Lineage: Eukaryota; Metazoa; Cnidaria; Anthozoa; Scleractinia; Merulinidae
Also listed under: 7 other names
Description: partial 28S ribosomal RNA
Source: RNAcentral